RNAcentral lists this ribosomal RNA (478 nucleotides) under uncultured bacterium. Its description in RNAcentral is "bacterial SSU rRNA". It matches the Rfam family "Bacterial small subunit ribosomal RNA", at positions 30 to 506 of the family's 1533-position model. The record is from RNAcentral.
UUGAACGCUGGCGGCAUGCCUUACACAUGCAAGUCGAACGGUAGAGUAGCAAUACUCGAGAGUGGCGAACGGGUGAGUAAUAUAUCGGAACGUGCCCAGUCGUGGGGGAUAACGUAGAGAAAUUUACGCUAAUACCGCAUACGAUCUAAGGAUGAAAGCGGGGGACUCGCAAGGGCCUCGCGCGAUUGGAGCGGCUGAUAUCAGAUUAGGUUGUUGGUGAGGUAAAAGCUCACCAAGCCGACGAUCUGUAGCUGGUUUGAGAGAACGACCAGCCACACUGGGACUGAGGCACGGUCCAGACUCCUACGGGAGGCAGCAGUGGGGAAUUUUGGACAAUGGGGGAAACCCUGAUCCAGCCAUUCCGCGUGAGUGAAGAAGGCCUUCGGGUUGUAAAGCUCUUUCAGCAGGAACGAAACGGUCGGCUUUAAUAAAGUCGGCUAAUGACGGUACCUGCAGAAGAAGCACCGGCUAACUACGU